RNAcentral lists this ribosomal RNA (268 nucleotides) under uncultured bacterium. RNAcentral describes it as "partial 16S ribosomal RNA". It matches the Rfam family "Bacterial small subunit ribosomal RNA", at positions 793 to 1055 of the family's 1533-position model. The record is from RNAcentral.
GUCCACGCCGUAAACGAUGAGUGCUAGGUGCUGUGGGUAUUGACCCCCGCGGUGCCGCAGCCAACGCGUUAAGCACUCCGCCUGGGGGAGUACGGCCGCAAGGCUAAAAACUCAAAGGAAUUGACGGGGGGCCCGCACAAGCGGUGGAGCAUGUGGUUCAAUUCGACGCAACGCGCAGAACCUUACCUGGGUUAAAUCCACCAGAAUCUUGUAGAGAUACAGGGGUGCCCUUCGGGGAACUGGUGAGAAGGUGCUGCAUGGCUGUCGU